This 950-nucleotide long non-coding RNA is filed under the name Homo sapiens (human). Its description in RNAcentral is "HSALNT0028325". The record is from RNAcentral. Lineage: Eukaryota; Metazoa; Chordata; Mammalia; Primates; Hominidae.
UGCCUUGUCUUGUCCAUGAACCAGAGUUCCUUCAAGUCCUUUCUUGCUCUGCAGUUCUACAAACCAGUGAGCCUGCUCUUGCCUCCAUGCUUGUCCUAGGCUGAUGCUGCUCUGCUACUACUCAGUUAAAGAAACAUUGGCCCAAGAGGACAGGCACAAGGACAGGUGGAAGAAGAAAGCUGUCCUGCCACCAGGAGAUGGCAUGGUGGUAUGGCAGUCCCAGGUCCGAGGUCAAGGAGUGGCUGGGGAACAGAGGGAGAACUUUGAGUAUUUCUGCCUGGGUGCCCUCAGCUUGACAUUCUCUCAUUCAGCAGGGCCUCAGAGAGAGCAGACAGACACUGGAGAUCCAGGCAAGAGUAGCUCAAGGUGAGUCGUUCAUUGAGUUUCACCAUGGGGAGAUGGCCAUUGUGAAUCAGCCAUAGUCAACACUCUUUGAGGUAGAACUGAUGAGCUUUGCAGAUGCCUCAGCAGAAUUACUCCUGGACAAGUGUUGGGUGUCAGAGUCACCAGAAUUUGAUGGCAGCCCCCAGUGGAACAUAAUAAAUAGGUACAUAUCCUCAGCUAGCAGCUGAGAGGGCAGAACCAGAACCCCAGUCCUACCAGAUAUAGCCCAAGAUUCUGUAAGAAUAUCUUACAUGCUAAAGCAAGAUCCCCAAAGUGAGGACCUGAUAUGGUUAGGCUGUGUCCCCACCCAAAAUCUCAUCUUGAAUUAUCCCCACAAUCCCCACUUGUCAAGGGCAGGACCAAGGGUGGAGGUAUGGGGGCAGUUUCCCCGGAGCUGUUCUCAUGAUAGUGACUCUCACGAGAUCUGAUGGUUUUAUAAGUGUCUGACAUGUCCCCUGCUUGCACUCACUCCAUCCUGCCACCCUGUGAAGGAGGUGCCUGCUUCUCCUUUGCCUUCUGCCAUGAUUGUAAGUUCCCUGAGGCCUCCACAGCCAUGCAGAACUGUG